Pygocentrus nattereri (red-bellied piranha) is the source of this 1095-nucleotide long non-coding RNA. RefSeq lists it as uncharacterized. Lineage: Eukaryota; Metazoa; Chordata; Actinopteri; Characiformes; Serrasalmidae. The transcript has 2 exons. The record is from RefSeq and is a predicted model, not a curated record.
UGUCUCGACUCGGGACAGGUCAGGCCAUUCUUCAUGCUGACCAGAUGCACCGUCGCUCAGCUUUGGCCGAGGAUUCUGUAGCCGUGAAUAAUAACACCAAUAUAUAUGUGAGCGAAUCCUUGCCGGCGGUUUUGGGAGAGAUCCGCCGCUGCGAUGCUGGCAGGGGUACGGCCAUGCUUUCUCCUGGUCUGGCCACCAUGUAGGGCUUAAUCCCACCUGUGAUCGCUCUGGUCGGGUCAACCACAGUUGAAAUGGGUGGCUUGUGCCGCUGUGGAAAGCUGUUCAAAAGCCUUCAAGUGCUGAUACGUCUAAUCCCUUGGUCCUGUUUGCGUCCCCAUGUUUGUGCGUCAUACCUCCCUAGAGCUUGAAAUAUUUGCCUGAAACUCAGCAGGACCCACUGUUUUGUCAAUUUCGGAUGUCAUAGUUUCUAAAGUAUGCUUCUUGAUUCAGGUACAAGCAUUGCAGUCAGAUUUUGGAGGCCUCAUAGCUUUAAAGCAGUGGUCUCCAACCCUGGUCCUGGAGAGUUACUUUCCUAGUUCCAACAUGUAUCCAAUAAGUUUCCCCAUCCUCUACUUAACUGUAAUGAAUGAUCCAGCCAAUCAGAGACUUGGGAGAGGUUUGGAAUAUUGUUGGAACUGGGCUCUGCAGAAAGGUACCAGGGUUGGAGCCCACUGCUUUAAAAGACUUUGGCCUUCUUUCACUUUUUUCUUCCUGCUUACUUUUCUUAGAAAUACUUUAAACACUUUAGAAUCACUCAUGUUGUUGGCAAUGAUGUCCACCGAGGUCCACAAGGCUAGCAUGACAUUGGCCUAUAUAAAGUCUAAAAGUUGAAGACAUAUUUUCAAGGCAGCAUCUCUCAAAUUGUUUUACUUUAAGGUUCCCUUUGUGGGUGGGUGGUAAGUGCUGCCUGAAAAAUCUUGGAAAGAUACAAGAUAUGCCAUCAAUAUGGUUCACUUCUCUAAGAAAACAUUGUUUCCCCAGUUUUGGAGGUCUACUGGAAUAUAAAUCUGGGACAUGGGAAAUACAGCCUCGUACAGUUUUGCUUGUGCUCUUUGGACAGCUAAUAUCAAUAAACCUGGAUUUGUUUUGCUUUGA